GCGGCAGCUAUACCUUUGCCAGUUGUGAAGUCCUUGCUUGGUCCUUAUCUUGUAUUCCUCUCUUCAACAGUGAAUGGGUAUGAAGGUACAGGAAGGUCAUUAUCUUUAAAACUGUUGCAGCAACUUGAGCAACAAGAUCGGAUUUCAAGCCAAAGUGUGGAUACUGGUGUUUCAGGCCGAUUGAAAAAGAUUGAAUUAAGUGAAGCAAUCAGAUAUGCCUCUGGCGAUCCAAUUGAAUCCUGGCUUCAUUCAUUGCUGUGUUUGGAUGCAACAAAUUCCAUUCCUAGUAUAAGUAGG
Molecule: long non-coding RNA, 297 nt
Organism: Salvia miltiorrhiza (redroot sage)
Lineage: Eukaryota; Viridiplantae; Streptophyta; Magnoliopsida; Lamiales; Lamiaceae
Exons: 3
Source: RefSeq, a predicted model, not a curated record